RNAcentral lists this long non-coding RNA (655 nucleotides) under Ananas comosus (pineapple). Its description in RNAcentral is "long non-coding RNA (ACOM_LNC018160)". Lineage: Eukaryota; Viridiplantae; Streptophyta; Magnoliopsida; Poales; Bromeliaceae. The record is from RNAcentral.
GCCAAACGAGUUAUUGUUGCUAGUGGGCUGGGUCGUUAUAUUUGGUAUCAGAGCCGGUUCACCAGCUGGACAUGUGUGGCGAGUCUCGGCUUAGCCAGGGUCUGGAUGACGGGCUAGCGAGACGAGUCUCACAUCGCCUGGUGAUCUUGGGCUGUGAGUCUGAUUGGACUGACGAGGACGUCAGGGCCUUAAAGGAGGGGAGACUGUGACACCCCAGAUAGUCCUACACAUAAGAUAUAAUAGGGCUAAACUCUUAACCCGGCUUAAGCAUUUUGGGUGGUGACAAGAGACCAAGACACUAGUAAUAAGAACUGAGCUUAAGCAUGCUAGGACGGUGAGUAGGCCAAACGAGUUAUGGGUGACCCACUGGGAAGCUGGGGCGCCACAGAUGGUAUCAGAGCCGGUUCACCAGCUGGACAUGUGUGGCGAGUCUCGGCUGAGCCAGGGUCUAGAUGACCGGCUAGCGAGACGAGUCUCACAUCGCCUGGUGAUCUUGGGCUGUGUGUGUGAUUGGACUGACGAGGACGUCAGGGCCUUAACGGGGGGAGUCUGUGACACCCCAAUAGUCCCACAUCGGAUGGGAAAGGGGUUGUCAUUGGGUUUAUAAGAGACUUAGACACUAGUAAUAAUAACUGGGCUUAAGCAUUUUGGGCCG